This 234-nucleotide ribosomal RNA is filed under the name Triticum aestivum (bread wheat). RNAcentral describes it as "partial small subunit ribosomal RNA". Lineage: Eukaryota; Viridiplantae; Streptophyta; Magnoliopsida; Poales; Poaceae. The record is from RNAcentral.
AUGAAACAUCUUAGCUGGAACUGUUGGGGGCUUGGGAACCCCGAGGCAGUUCGUGAGCUUCGCAAAGUUGUGAAGCAGGAAGGGCUCGACCUACUCUUUGUGAUGGAGACGAAGAUUAGGGCGAAGAGAGUGGAAAUUCUUAAGCAUACACUCGGCUUUUCGGGUUGUUUUUCUGUUGAUAGUGCGGGGCACAGUGGUGGCCUCAGUUUGUUCUGGUCAAGUGAUUUAUGUUGA